UUUUCACCAUUCAAACCUUCAUUUUCUACUUUCCUAAGGCUUGCUGUUGAGCAGCAAUGUUGUUUCUUUCCUUCCUGACAAAGAGCUCAACAUUUCUACUUAACAGACUUAGCCUAAGAGGUAUCCUUCCUACUUUGUAAUGCUAAUACUCCCAACCUGUGUUUUUGGGACCAGGUUCCAUCCACGACUUACCUACCUACCUAAGUAACAACUACCUGCUUUUACUUCCUUAGUUGGCUCAUUCAAUUAAACAGAAAAUAAACAGUAUUUGGCAUUAUUUAAAACUUCUCUAAAGAUCAAUGACCACCAACAGUUAAUUCUGGUAGAGUCUUUAUCUUACUCUUAAUUGAUCUCUCAAUGGCAUUUGGCAUGACCAUUGACACUUUACCAUUCUCCCUCCUCUGGCUUCCAUAAUGCUCUGUACACUCACCCCCUUCCUAGUUCUCACCUGACUCUUCCUUCCCAAGUCAUCUUUGCUGGUUUCUUCUGCAUACUAACUGUUGGUGUUCCUCAAGACUUUCGCCUUGGCUGUAUUUUCCCAUGUCCUUUCUGGGCAUGCUGUCAUUUUCCUCAAACUAAGUUAAAAAUGGCUAACUCUCAGACUUGUACAUUAAAGACUGAUUUUGCUUCUUCCUUCAGUUCCAGUAAAAUGUAAUAAACGCUAACUAUACCCCAGAUCCUGAGCUAAAUGCUUUGGAGAUAAGGCAGGCCACUUGCCCUCAAGAAAUUUAAAAUCCAGAACUGUAGUUUCAGAGUCUCACAUAAAGUACUGAUCACUAAUUAGGCUUUAGCCCUGGGAUGCAAGGUUGCUUCAACAUUUGAAAACCAAAAAUGGAAUUGAUCACAUAAACAGAACUAAAGGCAAAAACCACAUGAUUAUCUCAACAGAUGCAGAAAAUGCAUUCAAUAAAAUUUAACACCACUUUCAUGUUAAAAAACUCUCAAUAAACUAGGCAUUGAAGGAACAUACCACAAAAUAAUAAGAACCAUCUAUGAUAAACCCACAGCCAACAUCAUACUCAAUGGUCAAAGGCCGGAAGCAUUCCACUUGAAAACUGGCACAAGACAAGGAUCUCCUCUCUCACCACUCCUGUAUUAGAGUAUUAGAUAGUAUAGUAUUAGAAGUCCUCGCCAGAGCAAUCAGGCAAGAGAAAGAAAGAAAGGGCAUCCAAACAGGAAGAGAGGAAGUCAAACUAUUCCUGUUUGCAGACAUGAUCCGAUAUCUAGAAAACUCCACAGUCCGGGCCCAAAAGCUCCUUAAGCUGAUAAACAACUUUGACAUACUCUCAGGAUACAAAAUCAAUGUAGAAGAGUCACUAGCAUUCCUAUACAUCAACAAGCCGAAAGCCAAAUCAGGACACAAUCCCAUUCACAACUGCCACAAAAAUAAUACAAUAUCUAGAAAUACAGCUAACCAGGGAGGUGAAAGAUUGCUACAAAGAGAACUACAAAACACUGCCCAAAGAAAUGAUUGCCCAAAGAGAUGAUUGGGCUGGGCGCAGUGGCUCACAACUGUAAUCUCAGCACUUUGGGAGGCCAAGGCAAGCAGAUCACCUGAGGUUGGGAGUUCGAGACCAGCCUGACCAACAUGGAGAAACCCCGUCUCUACUAAAAAUACAAAAUUAGCUGGGCAUGGUGGUGCAUGCCUGUAAUCCC
Molecule: long non-coding RNA, 1656 nt
Filed under: Macaca fascicularis (crab-eating macaque)
Lineage: Eukaryota; Metazoa; Chordata; Mammalia; Primates; Cercopithecidae
Description: lncRNA (ENSMFAG00000048767.1)
Source: RNAcentral